RNAcentral lists this ribosomal RNA (506 nucleotides) under uncultured bacterium. RNAcentral's name for it is "partial 16S ribosomal RNA". It matches the Rfam family "Bacterial small subunit ribosomal RNA", at positions 29 to 523 of the family's 1533-position model. The record is from RNAcentral.
AGUGAACGCUGGCGGUAGGCCUAACACAUGCAAGUCGAACGGCAGCACAGGAGAGCUUGCUCUCUGGGUGGCGAGUGGCGGACGGGUGAGGAAUACAUCGGAAUCUACUUUUUCGUGGGGGAUAACGUAGGGAAACUUACGCUAAUACCGCAUACGACCUACGGGUGAAAGCAGGGGAUCUUCGGACCUUGCGCGAUUGAAUGAGCCGAUGUCGGAUUAGCUAGUUGGCGGGGUAAAGGCCCACCAAGGCGACGAUCCGUAGCUGGUCUGAGAGGAUGAUCAGCCACACUGGAACUGAGACACGGUCCAGACUCCUACGGGAGGCAGCAGUGGGGAAUAUUGGACAAUGGGCGCAAGCCUGAUCCAGCCAUACCGCGUGGGUGAAGAAGGCCUUCGGGUUGUAAAGCCCUUUUGUUGGGAAAGAAAUCCAGCUGGUUAAUACCCGGUUGGGAUGACGGUACCCAAAGAGUAAGCACCGGCUAACUUCGUGCCAGCAGCCGCAGUAA